CCGCUUAUUGAUAUGCUUAAGUUCAGCGGGUAUCCCUACCUGAUCCGAGGUCAACCUUGUAAAAAAGAAAGUGUCCCUGUGAGGGGACGGUGACCGGGUCUGGACUUCUAGCCUGGUACGUGCCCGAAAGCUCAGUGUACAGGAGUCCUCACAGACGCCGUCAUUAUCUUUGGGAAGAGCGGGAGGGCGAGCCUCCCCGCUACGACCAACAACAAGCCGGGCUUGAGGGGUGAUAAUGACGCUCGAACAGGCAUGCCCUCCGGAAUACCAGAGGGCGCAAUGUGCGUUCAAAGAUUCGAUGACUCACGGAUUCUGCAAUUCGCAUUACUUAUCGCAUUUCGCUGCGUUCUUCAUCGAUGCAGCUGUACCUAGA
This 373-nucleotide unclassified non-coding RNA is filed under the name uncultured fungus. RNAcentral describes it as "sequence contains ITS1". Lineage: Eukaryota; Fungi. The record is from RNAcentral.